This 138-nucleotide microRNA precursor is filed under the name Ipomoea nil (Japanese morning glory). RNAcentral's name for it is "mir-395 microRNA precursor family". It matches the Rfam family "mir-395 microRNA precursor family". Rfam says of the family: mir-395 was identified in both Arabidopsis thaliana and Oryza sativa computationally and was later experimentally verified. mir-395 is thought to target mRNAs coding for ATP sulphurylases. The mature sequence is excised from the 3' arm of the hairpin. Lineage: Eukaryota; Viridiplantae; Streptophyta; Magnoliopsida; Solanales; Convolvulaceae. The record is from Rfam by way of RNAcentral.
GUUUCCCCUGGAGUCCCUCCGAACACUUCAUUGGGAGUUUGAAGCUAGAUUGCCCUUUAAUUAUAUUAUUGAAACAAGCUAAGGGUGUCUGCUUGCUUAAUUGCCUACUGAAGUGUUUGGGGGAACUCUGGGAGCCAC